This 464-nucleotide ribosomal RNA is filed under the name Vreelandella stevensii. RNAcentral's name for it is "partial 16S ribosomal RNA". It matches the Rfam family "Bacterial small subunit ribosomal RNA", at positions 338 to 795 of the family's 1533-position model. Lineage: Bacteria; Pseudomonadati; Pseudomonadota; Gammaproteobacteria; Oceanospirillales; Halomonadaceae. The record is from RNAcentral.
CCUACGGGGGGCAGCAGUGGGGAAUAUUGGACAAUGGGGGGAACCCUGAUCCAGCCAUGCCGCGUGUGUGAAGAAGGCCCUCGGGUUGUAAAGCACUUUCAGUGAGGAAGAACGCCUGGUGGUUAAUACCCAUCAGGAAAGACAUCACUCACAGAAGAAGCACCGGCUAACUCCGUGCCAGCAGCCGCGGUAAUACGGAGGGUGCGAGCGUUAAUCGGAAUUACUUGGCGUAAAGCGCGCGUAGGUGGCUUGAUAAGCCGGUUGUGAAAGCCCCGGGCUCAACCUGGGAACGGCAUCCGGAACUGUCAAGCUAGAGUGCAGGAGAGGAAGGUAGAAUUCCCGGUGUAGCGGUGAAAUGCGUAGAGAUCGGGAGGAAUACCAGUGGCGAAGGCGGCCUUCUGGACUGACACUGACACUGAGGUGCGAAAGCGUGGGUAGCAAACAGGAUUAGAUACCCUGUAGUC